GACGAACGCUGGCGGCGUGCUUAACACAUGCAAGUCGAACGGACAGGCCCUGCUUUUGUUGGGUGCUCGAGUGGCGAACGGGUGAGUAACACGUGAGUAACCUGCCCUUGACUUUGGGAUAACUUCUGGAAACUGGGGCUAAUACCGCGUAGGAGCUCCUGCUGCAUGGUGGGGGUUGGAAAGUUACGGCGGUUGGGGAUGGACUCGCGGCUUAUCAGCCUCUUGGUGGGGUAGUGGCUUACCAAGGCUUUGACGGGUAGCCGGCCUGAGAGGGUGACCGGGCACAUUGGGACUGAGAGAGGGACCAGACUCCUACGGGAGGCAGUAGGCGGGAAUAUGGCACAAUGGGCGGAAGUCUGAUGCAGCAACGUCGCGUGCGUGAUGAUGGCCUUCGGGGGGUAAACCGCUUUCGCCGGUGACGAAGAUGGAGUGACGGUAAUGGGUAAAGAAGCAACGGCUAACUACGUG
Molecule: ribosomal RNA, 468 nt
Filed under: uncultured bacterium
Lineage: Bacteria
Description: partial 16S ribosomal RNA
Rfam family: Bacterial small subunit ribosomal RNA
Source: RNAcentral